Molecule: transfer RNA, 56 nt
Filed under: Parascaris equorum
Lineage: Eukaryota; Metazoa; Nematoda; Chromadorea; Rhabditida; Ascarididae
Description: tRNA-Arg
Source: RNAcentral
GGACGUUAAAUAGAUGAUUACUAUGCCUUGUUACGGUCUAGGAAGAUGAUCGUUCU